This 375-nucleotide ribosomal RNA is filed under the name uncultured organism. RNAcentral describes it as "partial 16S ribosomal RNA". It matches the Rfam family "Bacterial small subunit ribosomal RNA", at positions 527 to 896 of the family's 1533-position model. The record is from RNAcentral.
GUAGGUGGCAAGCGUUGUCCGGAAUUAUUGGGCGUAAAGCGCGCGCAGGUGGUUCUUUAAGUCUGAUGUGAAAGCCCCCCGGCUCAACCGGGGAGGGUCAUUGGAAACUGGGGAACUUGAGUGCAGGAGAGGAAAGUGGAAUUCCACGUGUAGCGGUGAAAUGCAUAGAUAUGUGGAGGAACACCAGUGGCGAAGGCGACUUUCUGGCCUGUAACUGACACUGAGGCGCGAAAGCGUGGGGAGCAAACAGGGAUUAGAUACCCUGGUAGUCCACGCCGUAAACGAUGAGUGCUAAGUGUUGGGGGGGUUUCCCGCCCCUCAGUGCUGCAGCUAACGCAUUAAGCACUCCGCCUGGGGAGUACGGUCGCAAGACUG